Molecule: long non-coding RNA, 901 nt
Organism: Oncorhynchus nerka (sockeye salmon)
Lineage: Eukaryota; Metazoa; Chordata; Actinopteri; Salmoniformes; Salmonidae
Exons: 2
Source: RefSeq, a predicted model, not a curated record
ACUGGGCAUAAGUGAAAACUCAUGCGUCCUGACUGCCACUGCUGAUUUAAGCUAUGUGUGACUGAUUUGUAGGGCAGGAUGUCAAAUGGCUUAACUCUCAACUCUUGUUGAAUUACAGAGCUUGACCUCAGAGGACGGUGGAGAUGAGGACAGACUGGUUGAGAGGAGAAGAGGUUGGGUAUGUACUAGGUCUACCAGCAGGAACUGCAAAGGGAGAUGGACCCCUGUGGUUGUGUUAAGAAGACGUCUAUUUGACUAUUGUACUGUACACUCCCCAUGUACACAUUCCACAGAGAGACAGCAAUCUCUGAGGACCUUAUCGGUCCAACCACUUAACCUAGGGGAUGGGAGAACAGUCUGUCUCUGUGUAAAUCUUCAAGAGAUAAACCUCAACUGCUUCCCUUUGUUUGAAGACGAGACACCUCACCAUGAGGGAGAUAGAGAUGAGAGAUUCCCUUUCAACACAAAACGGAAACAAACAGACAGAUGGCUUCCAGUUCCACAAUCCUGCUACGUGCUCCCUGGGUUUCGCCAUGAGGGACUCCUCUAAACUUUGAGUCAACCAUUGAUUGACUUGCUCUUUGUGGUUUAGGGGUGGGGUAAGUGUAAAGCAUUAUGUGAUAACUGCUGAUGAAAAAAAGGACAAUGAUUUUGAAUUUGAUUCAUUGAUUGAACCAUGCCUCAGUUCAGACCAGAGAUGGGCAGGUACCUGGGCAUCAAAAUAGCAUCUGCUAAAUCAGUGGUGAUGCGUCAUGUGGGGCAGGUGGGGCCGAGCCCUCCAAUAUCCAGGAGAUUUUCAUGCAAUUAUGUUAUUUAAUGUCACAACUAUAUAGCACAUCAGUUAGCGAAAUUGUAAAAAAAUUGUUAACUGCUUGAUCAAAUAAAGCAGAUGUGGUUGCUU